CUCCCUGCUUCCGCUGGUCACGCGGGAGGCGGCCAGGCUGCGCGGGAAAGACCGGUGGGCGGGUGCUGCGGAGACCUGGCUGUCCCGGUGCACUCUCAGGCCCCAGCCGCCGCGCCGUGUCCCCGGACGCUCCGUGGGCGGGCCGGGAUAAAAAUGAAUGAAUACUUCUAUCCUGCUCGCGGCCCACCGCUGCCUCCGCCUGGGCGGUGCCCGCGCCCCGGCCGCGCCCUGGGCGGAGGCGGCCUGCUGGGUCCGGCGGGCCGGCCAGGAUCGUUCUGCUCCCCAGUAGGGCCGGUGGCCCGAGCCCAGAGCUUCAGGCAUCCGUGCGCACUGGCCGACCCCACCCCGGCCUCGGGUUUUCAAGGUUCGGGAGAUGCCCUGGCGUUAAAUUCGCGCGCAUCCAGUGACCGCCCUCCCCGCCGCCAGGCCUUUAAAAGGCAGGCAGGCCACGUGUUAACAAGGCUCAGUAGAUCCCGAAAGGGCAAUGUGGAGAAAAGCAAUCACUAAAGGACGUGAUGCUGGCUUUAUGUACUUCAACACUAUUAUGUAAUCCUACAGAGAGGUUUUACAUGUAAUAUAAUGCCAUUUGCGCGCAAAUAUGUGUGUGUGUGUGUAUGUAUGUGUAUAUAUAUGUACACACACAUAUAUAUGCAAACAAUUACAUUAGUUUUUGGGCUAUGUGUGCGUAAGUUUUUUGGCUGCAAGGGUAUAGACCAUAUCCAAGAGAAUAGAAAGGGAUGGGAUGGGAUGGGGAGAGAUCAAAAAACACUAAUUUUACCUUAAGUUAUAUUUCUUUUUUUCCAAAAGUAAUUGAAGCAAAAAUUUACACUUGCUACUGUGUGCUUCUGGGUGGAAGAGUACCAGGGGCACCCUGCCACACAAGUCAUGGAAAAUAGGUCAAGCCAGGAGCUCUAGUACCCAUCCUGUUACAUGGUGCUCCCAGGUGGCUGGUUUGUUUGCCCAAGAAGAAUUUGCAAAGGUCGUCAUCAUAGAGGCUUGUCAUUUACUUUCCCACACUAGGACAAAUGAAGACCCUAUUCGUCAUGACAUUCAAAGUACCCAGCACAGUACCUGACACAAAUAUCUGUUGAAUUAUUAAGCACAUUACUCUUAACUCUUUCUGAAUACAUAAAGAAUAACCAGAAACAGCAACAAUAUUUAUAUUCUAAUAAAAUAAUGUGAUUUAAAUAUA
Ictidomys tridecemlineatus (thirteen-lined ground squirrel) is the source of this 1192-nucleotide non-coding RNA. Lineage: Eukaryota; Metazoa; Chordata; Mammalia; Rodentia; Sciuridae. The record is from RefSeq and is a predicted model, not a curated record.